Molecule: ribosomal RNA, 120 nt
Filed under: Triticum aestivum (bread wheat)
Lineage: Eukaryota; Viridiplantae; Streptophyta; Magnoliopsida; Poales; Poaceae
Source: RNAcentral
CCGGUUAGAAUAAUAAGAAAGAAUCAAAGUCCAGGUUGGUUGGUGAGCCUAGUGAUAGGAGACUAUCUAGCUUGGUUCGGAGAGCCACCCUUCUUCCACUCCGUCCCGAAGACUAACUAA